GAUGAACGCUGGCGGCGUGCCUAAUACAUGCAAGUCGAGCGAACGGACGAGAAUCUUGCUUCUCUGAUGUUAGCGGCGGACGGGUGAGUAACACGUGGAUAACCUCCCUAUAAGACUGGGAUAACUUCGGGAAACCGGAGCUUAUACCGGAUGAUAUUUUGAACCGCAUUGUUCAAAAGUGAAAGACGGUCUUGCUGUCACUUAUAGAUGGUUCCGCGCUGCAUUAGCUAGUUGGUAAGGUAACGGCUUACCAAGGCAACGAUGCAUAGCCGACCUGAGAGGGUGAUAGGCCACACUGGAACUGAGACAGGGUCAAGACUCCUACGGGAGGCAGCAGAAGGGAAUGUGCAGCAAUGGGCGAAAGCCUGACGGAGCAACGGCGCGUGAGUGAUGAAGGUCUUCGGAUCGUAAAAAUCGGUUAUUAGGGAAGAACAGAUGUGUAAGUAACUGUGCACAUAGUGACGGUACCUAAUCAGAAAGCAACGGCUAACUACGUG
Molecule: ribosomal RNA, 497 nt
Filed under: uncultured bacterium
Lineage: Bacteria
Description: partial 16S ribosomal RNA
Rfam family: Bacterial small subunit ribosomal RNA
Source: RNAcentral